This 1259-nucleotide long non-coding RNA is filed under the name Cricetulus griseus (Chinese hamster). Its description in RNAcentral is "lncRNA (ENSCGRG00015034357.1)". The stretch from base 546 to 624 matches the Rfam family "mir-219 microRNA precursor family". The record is from RNAcentral. Lineage: Eukaryota; Metazoa; Chordata; Mammalia; Rodentia; Cricetidae.
GCCCGAGAGACAGCGGAGAUUCAUUACCCGUCGACACAAUGACCAUUGAUGGCCCCGUGGCGUUAUUCAAAUCCAGUACCAAUUGCAGCCGAGCCCCUUUCUCCGCGCCAGGCCCGUAUUGUUGGAGCGGCCCACUAAAAGCCCGCCCCGGCCCCGAGCCGCCAGAGGCGCCCGCUCGGGUUCAGCCCUGCACCUCGCCAGCACGCUGGCUCCUGGUCCGGCUCCCUGGGCGCUGCAGGUGACCCAGCGGCGCAUUCCGGCGCUUCCCGCCGCCCGGGCUACCGCCACCCGCGACUCAGCUACAAGGAAGCAGAGAGCGCCCGAGCUGGGACUCUUGGCCACGGUGGAAGGAAACACGCUGGGGGCGAUGGGGAUGCCGGUGCAGGGCCGGGAUCUGCAUGCCCGCUCGUCCACCUUACCGCGGGAUGGGCUGCGACUGAUGAGCUUCUGCAAGGUAUUCCGACGCGCAGCUCCCGAGAUCCGUUGUGCGCUUUUAAGGAGCCAGGCAGAACCCCGCAGGAGACCGGGGCCCUGAACUCAGGGGCUUCGCCACUGAUUGUCCAAACGCAAUUCUUGUACGAGUCUGCGGCCAACCGAGAAUUGUGGCUGGACAUCUGUGGUUGAGCUCCGGGCUCAACAGAAACCGGGUCCGUGCUGGGGUUAGGAGACCCCGGGCGGCGGCCGGCAGGUCCCAGCACGGCAUAGUGGCCCCAGACUGGCGCGCAAAGAAGGGACAGUAGUUCUUGCGACCAGAGCCGCCAUCCUCACCCUCGCCUCCUUCCUUCGUCUCCUCCUCUUAGGGUGACCCGUGUCGGCUGGCAGGGUCCUCCAGUUGAUCGCACCGAUUUUCCGUUUUCCAAUUUCAGCUGUAAUGAAGCUGGCACACAGCGGCGGGACCCGAAUGUGGUCGUUGGCCAAAGCCGCAGUUAGUCGGGGGUGAAGGCAGAUGCCAGCAGAAUUCGUUUGCUAACUCGUUUUGAAUUUAUUCCAACCUGUCCCCUAACCAGCACUCCCAAACAACACCCCCCCCCCAAAAAAAAUCCGAAAUCAACCCGUAUAUCCCAAACCAGCCAACCAACCCCUCCCACAAGCUCCUCUGGACGAGUGAUGGGCUGAGCCUCCCACCGCUGCCAGAAACCUGCCAGAAACCGACAAGCUGGGGAAUGAUGCGCUCCAGCCGGGCAACCGCCUAGGCUUUGGAAAUAAGAACUUGGACAAACGAAACCUUUUCAUUAAAGAAAAAUCUUCGAAGGUAGUGG